UACGUAGGGUGCAAGCGUUAAUCGGAAUUACUGGGCGUAAGCGUGCGCAGGCGGUUUGUAAGUUUGUCGUGAAAGCCCCGGGCUCAACCUGGGAAUUGCGAUGAAGACUGCAAGGCUUGAAUCUGGCAGAGGGGGGUAGAAUUCCACGUGUAGCAGGUGAAAUGCGUAGAGAUGUGGAGGAACACCGAUGGCGAAGGCAGCCCCCUGGGUCAAGAUUGACGCUCAUGCACGAAAGCGUGGGGAGCAAACAGG
This 252-nucleotide ribosomal RNA is filed under the name uncultured bacterium. RNAcentral describes it as "partial 16S ribosomal RNA". It matches the Rfam family "Bacterial small subunit ribosomal RNA", at positions 524 to 776 of the family's 1533-position model. The record is from RNAcentral.